Molecule: ribosomal RNA, 490 nt
Filed under: uncultured bacterium
Lineage: Bacteria
Description: partial 16S ribosomal RNA
Rfam family: Bacterial small subunit ribosomal RNA
Source: RNAcentral
AUUGAACGCUGGCGGCAGGCCUAACACAUGCAAGUCGAAUGGUAACAGGAAACAGCUUGCUGUUUCGCUGACGAGUGGCGGACGGGUGAGUAAUGUCUGGGAAACUGCCUGGUGGAGGGGGAUAACUACUGGAAACGGUAGCUAGUACCGCAUAACGUCGCAAGACCAAAGAGGGGGACCUUCGGGCCUCUUGCCAUCAGAUGUGCCCAGAUGGGAUUAGCUAGUAGGUGGGGUAACGGCUCACCUAGGCGACGAUCCCUAGCUGGUCUGAGAGGAUGACCAGCCACACUGGAACUGAGACACGGUCCAGACUCCUACGGGAGGCAGCAGUGGGGAAUAUUGCACAAUGGGGGCAAGCCUGAUGCAGCCAUGCCGCGUGUAUGAAGAAGGCCUUCGGGUUGUAAAGUACUUUCAGCGGGGAGGAAGGGAGUAAAGUUAAUACCUUUGCUCAUUGACGUUACCCGCAGAAGAAGCACCGGCUAACUCCGUG